RNAcentral lists this transfer RNA (74 nucleotides) under archaeon. RNAcentral describes it as "tRNA-Gly". It matches the Rfam family "tRNA". Rfam says of the family: Transfer RNA (tRNA) molecules are approximately 80 nucleotides in length. Their secondary structure includes four short double-helical elements and three loops (D, anti-codon, and T loops). The record is from RNAcentral.
GCGGCCGUAGUAUAGCCUGGUUAUUACCUAGCGUUGCCAACGCUAUUACCCGGGUUCGAAUCCCGGCGGCCGCA